This 102-nucleotide ribosomal RNA is filed under the name Acanthamoeba sp. isolate A28P28. Its description in RNAcentral is "partial 18S ribosomal RNA". Lineage: Eukaryota; Discosea; Longamoebia; Acanthamoebidae. The record is from RNAcentral.
AGGAGACGUUGAAUACAAAACACCACCAUCGGCGCGGUCGUCCUUGGCGUUCGUGUUCACGCACGAGCGCGAGGGCGGCUUAUCCCGAUGGCACCGGUGAAU